UACGAAGGGGGCUAGCGUUGCUCGGAAUCACUGGGCGUAAAGGGUGCGUAGGCGGGUCUUUAAGUCAGGGGCGAAAUCCUGGAGCUCAACUCCAGAACUGCCUUUGAUACUGAAGAUCUUGAGUUCGGGAGAGGUGAGUGGAACUGCGAGUGUAGCGGUGAAAUGCGUAGAUAUCAGGAGGAACACCUGUGGUGUAGACAGCUUACUGGACCACUUCUGACGCUGAGGCACGAAAGCGUGGGGAGCAAACAGG
RNAcentral lists this ribosomal RNA (253 nucleotides) under uncultured bacterium. RNAcentral's name for it is "partial 16S ribosomal RNA". It matches the Rfam family "Bacterial small subunit ribosomal RNA", at positions 524 to 776 of the family's 1533-position model. The record is from RNAcentral.